Long non-coding RNA from Etheostoma spectabile (orangethroat darter), 115 nucleotides. RefSeq lists it as uncharacterized. The record is from RefSeq and is a predicted model, not a curated record. NCBI's taxonomy places the organism in Eukaryota, Metazoa, Chordata, Actinopteri, Perciformes, Percidae. The transcript has 3 exons.
UGUCACACAGGACGUCAGCACUGCAACAGUGAAGCACCGUGCCUUGUGUGCAUAGGCAUAGAUUUUGGGGGAGAAUGCAGGGGAUCUGUGUUUCCCCCCUCUAGUUGCAAGACAU